UCCAUAUGGACCAGGCUUCUCAUUCUCAUAGUGUGGUGGCUGGGUUCUGAAAGGAAGAAGCCCAAGUCGGGGCACCAGAAGAGAGAAGCAUCUCUAAGCGAGAAGGUGGUAUCAGAAGCGGGAUCCAAAACGGAGCUUCUAGCAAACUCCUGGAGUGCCGAGUGAACACACAAGGUACCAGCAGAACCGACUUGUGUCCACGGAUCUCUCAGAGCGGCUGGGGAUGGUGGAUCCUAAAUGUGUGGAGGAUAGAGAUGUGUUCUGCUCACCUGGUAUCCUGUAUGGUGUCUCUACUGCUGCUUCAUAUAUUGCUGAUUUGAGAAAUUGGAUCAGGUUUGGUAUGAGAUGGUAUGAUGAUGUUGAAAUUCAUAGCAGAGUUAUUAAUCUGUUCCAGCAGCUGAACACACACACACAUAUACUACUUAUACAUGUACUCAUUCAAGAUAGUGCCAUCAAAAGCACAUAACGCGGUCCGUACGGUCAGCUAUGUCCUUCCCAAAUGAACCUUAAAGGUGAAAUCUUCUGAGGCGCCUCAUAAACAUUGUAAAAAUAGCCCUUGUCUGAUUUGUUUGCUUAUUGUUUCUCUUCCUUACUAGUGUGUGAGCACCUCAAGAAUUAGAACUGGUUUGUCUUAUUCUCUGCUGUAGCCAUUGUGCUUGCAUAGUUCUUAG
This 671-nucleotide long non-coding RNA is filed under the name Callithrix jacchus (white-tufted-ear marmoset). RNAcentral describes it as "lncRNA (ENSCJAG00000073891.1)". Lineage: Eukaryota; Metazoa; Chordata; Mammalia; Primates; Cebidae. The record is from RNAcentral.